AAUCAACGCUGGCGGCGUGCCUCAGACAUGCAAGUCGAACGCGAAAUUUCCCUUCGGGGAGAAAGUAGAGUGGCGCACGGGUGAGUAACACGUAGGUAAUUUGCCUUUGGGUGGGGAAUAACUCAGGGAAACUUGAGCUAAUACCGCAUAAUGCAGCGGCUCGACAUCGAGACAGUUGUUAAAGCGGGGGAUUGGAGCAAUCCGACCUCGCGCCUAAAGAGAAGCCUGCGGCAGAUUAGCUGGUUGGUAAGGUAAUGGCUUACCAAGGCGACGAUCUGUAACCGGCCUGAGAGGGCGGUCGGUCACACUGACACUGACAUACGGGUCAGACUCCUACGGGAGGCAGCAGU
This 350-nucleotide ribosomal RNA is filed under the name uncultured bacterium. Its description in RNAcentral is "bacterial SSU rRNA". It matches the Rfam family "Bacterial small subunit ribosomal RNA", at positions 32 to 355 of the family's 1533-position model. The record is from RNAcentral.